RNAcentral lists this ribosomal RNA (335 nucleotides) under uncultured Planctomycetales bacterium. RNAcentral's name for it is "bacterial SSU rRNA". It matches the Rfam family "Bacterial small subunit ribosomal RNA", at positions 473 to 806 of the family's 1533-position model. Lineage: Bacteria; Pseudomonadati; Planctomycetota; Planctomycetia; Planctomycetales. The record is from RNAcentral.
CUAAGGCUCCAGAGGAAGCCACGGCUAACUCUGUGCCAGCAGCCGCGGUAAUACAGAGGCGGCAAGCGUUGUUCGGAAUUAUUGGGCGUAAAGAGCACGUAGGCGGCCUUGCAAGUCAGUUGUGAAAGCCUUCCGCUUAACGGAAGAAUGCCAGCUGAUACUACAGGGCUUGAGUACGGGAGGGGAGAGUGGAACUUCUGGUGGAGCGGUGAAAUGCGUAGAUAUCAGAAAGAACGCCGGCGGCGAAAGCGACUCUCUGGCCCGAAACUGACGCUGAGUGUGCGAAAGCUAGGGGAGCAAACGGGAUUAGAUACCCCGGUAGUCCUAGCCGUAAA